UACGUAGGGUGCGAGCGUUAAUCGGAAUUACUGGGCGUAAAGCGUGCGCGGGCGGUUCGUUAAGUCAGAUGUGAAAGCCCCGGGCUCAACCUGGGAACUGCAUUUGAAACUGGCGGGCUUGAGUGCGGCAGAGGGGGGUGGAAUUCCGCGUGUAGCAGUGAAAUGCGUAGAGAUGCGGAGGAACACCGAUGGCGAAGGCAGCCCCCUGGGCCGACACUGACGCUCAGGCACGAAAGCGUGGGGAGCAAACAGG
This 253-nucleotide ribosomal RNA is filed under the name uncultured bacterium. RNAcentral describes it as "partial 16S ribosomal RNA". It matches the Rfam family "Bacterial small subunit ribosomal RNA", at positions 524 to 776 of the family's 1533-position model. The record is from RNAcentral.